Molecule: transfer RNA, 75 nt
Filed under: Rhodobacterales bacterium
Lineage: Bacteria; Pseudomonadati; Pseudomonadota; Alphaproteobacteria; Rhodobacterales
Description: tRNA-Val
Rfam family: tRNA
About the family: Transfer RNA (tRNA) molecules are approximately 80 nucleotides in length.
Source: RNAcentral
GGGUGAUUAGCUCAGUUGGUAGAGCGCUUCGUUUACACCGAAGAUGUCGGGAGUUCGAGUCUCUAUCACCCACCA